UACGGGGGGGGCAAGCGUUGUUCGGAAUUACUGGGCGUAAAGGGCUCGUAGGUGGCCAACUAAGUCAGACGUGAAAUCCCUCAGCUUAACUGGGGAACUGCGUCUGAUACUGGAUGGCUUGAAUCCGGGAGAGGGAUGCAGAAUUCCAGGUGUAGCGGUGAAAUGCGUAGAUAUCUGGAGGAAUACCGGUGGCGAAGGCGGCAUCCUGGACCGGCAUUGACGCUGAUGAGCGAAAGCUAGGGGAGCAAACGGG
Molecule: ribosomal RNA, 253 nt
Filed under: uncultured bacterium
Lineage: Bacteria
Description: partial 16S ribosomal RNA
Rfam family: Bacterial small subunit ribosomal RNA
Source: RNAcentral